UACGGGGGGGGCGAGCGUUGUUCGGAAUUACUGGGCGUAAAGGGUUUGUAGGUGGUUUGCUAAGUCAGACGUGAAAUCCCUCAGCUUAACUGGGGAACUGCGUCUGAGACUGGCGGACUUGAGGGCAGGAGAGGAACGCGGAAUUCCAGGUGUAGCGGUGAAAUGCGUAGAUAUCUGGAGGAACACCGGUGGCGAAGGCGGCGUUCUGGACUGUUUCUGACACUGAUAAACGAAAGCCAGGGGAGCAAACGGG
RNAcentral lists this ribosomal RNA (253 nucleotides) under uncultured prokaryote. RNAcentral's name for it is "partial 16S ribosomal RNA". It matches the Rfam family "Bacterial small subunit ribosomal RNA", at positions 524 to 776 of the family's 1533-position model. The record is from RNAcentral.